AGUGAACGCUGGCGGUAGGCCUAACACAUGCAAGUCGAACGGCAGCACAGUAAGAGCUUGCUCUUACGGGUGGCGAGUGGCGGACGGGUGAGGAAUACAUCGGAAUCUACUUUUUCGUGGGGGAUAACGUAGGGAAACUUCCGCUAAUACCGCAUACGACCUACGGGUUAAAGCAGGGGAUCUUCGGACCUUGCGCGAUUGAAUGAGCCGAUGUCGGAUUAGCUAGUUGGCGGGGUAAAGGCCCACCAAGGCGACGAUCCGUAGCUGGUCUGAGAGGAUGAUCAGCCACACUGGAACUGAGACACGGUCCAGACUCCUACGGGAGGCAGCAGUGGGGAAUAUUGGACAAUGGGCGCAAGCCUGAUCCAGCCAUACCGCGUGGGUGAAGAAGGCCUUCGGGUUGUAAAGCCCUUUUGUUGGGAAAGAAAAGCAGCAGGUUAAUACCCCGCUGUUCUGACGGUACCCAAAGAAUAAGCACCGGCUAACUUCGUG
RNAcentral lists this ribosomal RNA (492 nucleotides) under uncultured bacterium. Its description in RNAcentral is "partial 16S ribosomal RNA". It matches the Rfam family "Bacterial small subunit ribosomal RNA", at positions 29 to 507 of the family's 1533-position model. The record is from RNAcentral.